RNAcentral lists this ribosomal RNA (497 nucleotides) under uncultured bacterium. RNAcentral describes it as "partial 16S ribosomal RNA". It matches the Rfam family "Bacterial small subunit ribosomal RNA", at positions 28 to 507 of the family's 1533-position model. The record is from RNAcentral.
GAUGAACGCUGGCGGCGUGCCUAAUACAUGCAAGUCGAGCGAACAGAUGAGGAGCUUGCUCCGCUGACGUUAGCGGCGGACGGGUGAGAAACGCGUGGAUAACCUACCUAUCAGACUGGGAUAACUUCGGGAAAGCGGAGCUAAUACGGGAGGAUAUAUUGAAGCGUGGGGGGCAAUAGUGAGAGACGGUUUUGCGGGCACGACUAGAUGGAUACGAGCCGCAUUAGCUAGUUGGUAAGGUAACGGCCUACCAAGGCAACGAUGCGUAGCCGACCUGAGAGAGUGAUCGGCCACACUGGAACUGAGACACGGUCCAUACUCCUACGAGAGGCAGCAGUAGGGAAUCUUCCGCAAUGGGCGAAAGCCUGACGGAGCAACGCCGCGUGAGUUAUGAAGGUCUUCGGAGCGUAAAGCUCUGUUAUUAGGGAAGAACAAAUGUGUAAGUAACUAUGCACGUCUUGACGGUACCUAAUCAGAAAGCCACGGCUAACUACGUG